AAAUUGAAGAGUUUGAUCAUGGCUCAGGUUGAACGCUGGCGGCAGGCCUAACACAUGCAAGUCGAACGGUAACAGGAAGCAGCUUGCUGCUUCGCUGACGAGUGGCGGACGGGUGAGUAAUGUCUGGGAAACUGCCUGAUGGAGGGGGAUAACUACUGGAAACGGUAGCUAAUACCGCAUAACGUCGCAAGACCAAAGGGGGGGGACCUUCGGGCCUCUUGCCAUCGGAUGUGCCCAGAUGGGAUUAGCUUGUUGGUGGGGUAACGGCUCACC
This 273-nucleotide ribosomal RNA is filed under the name Escherichia coli. RNAcentral's name for it is "partial 16S ribosomal RNA". It matches the Rfam family "Bacterial small subunit ribosomal RNA", at positions 1 to 269 of the family's 1533-position model. The record is from RNAcentral. Lineage: Bacteria; Pseudomonadati; Pseudomonadota; Gammaproteobacteria; Enterobacterales; Enterobacteriaceae.